Molecule: long non-coding RNA, 2566 nt
Organism: Equus caballus (horse)
Lineage: Eukaryota; Metazoa; Chordata; Mammalia; Perissodactyla; Equidae
Source: Ensembl
GGCGGGGGUCGGCCCUCCCGGGGGUCGUGGUCAGGGGGAUCGGCCCUCCCGGGGUGGGGCGGGGUCAGCCACGGCGGCGAGGGAGGCGGAGGAUGGCUGUGCGCGGCGGCGACGGGCCGAGGCUCCUGCCCGGACGACGCACCUCACGGCGGCGCCAGGACAGCCGGGCUGCACGGCCGGGGCUUCGCCCAGAGGCUGCACAGACACUGCGUGCUGACCGCUGGCCGGCGACCGCGGACACCGCGGGGUCCCAGCCGCGGCGUCUCGGCCGCUCCCCCGGCGGCGGCGCGGGGCGUGCGCCUCCCGGCGAGCAGCUCGAGCCGCCGGGCCUCCCAGCCAGCCCCGCCUGUGAGGACGCCAGGACCCCGUCGUCCCGUCGCCGGGCGGCCCCGGGAUCCCAAGAUGCCUGCGGUGAAAGCUCUUCCGCAGGAAGCAGCCCAGUGCAGUGUCCCUUGCCUGAGAGGGGAGGUGCCGCCAGCCCCGCCGGGCCAGGCCAGGCCUCCGCAGAGGGCUCCCCUGUGCCUUUGCCUUGUGGAUGCCGAGCUUCUCCGGGAGGAGGGACCCAUGACUCUGGACGUGAUUCCCCACACCUCCCGUUAGCUGCAAUAUCGCUGCUUUGUGAGACGACUGCUUCCGGUGGAGAGGCUGACUCACCCGCCAGCAGGGAGCCCGCUUUGGUCUCAGUAAGAAUUCCCUGGAAGAAUACCAAAUGGCGGAACCUCACGGACUGGACGGACGUGCUGUUGAAAUCCCAACUAGUUAAUGUUUCCUGGGUUUCUUUCUUUCAGAAAGGACAGAACCAAACUAACUAAGGCUUAAUUUUCUCUGACCCUUAAUUUGAACGCAGCUGUUCCUUUGUUUUGACUGAUCCUCCACGGCUUUGACAAGUAGAAAUGGCAAGCCACAGGAGAUACUGGGGGACACGAGGAAGCCGUUUGGUGUAAACCUAAUUCGGCCCGGCUUUGUUUUUCCACAAGGCCUGACGUGGCCGUUGAGCAUGCGCUGUACAUCUGCUUAAGCAUUUGCUGUGUCCCGCAGACAAGAACAAAGGCCCUUAAGAUAAAGGUGCAACUUCCCCCACAUGGCAUUUCCUUAAGGACAAGCAUCUCUCCCUGGGCUGGGAACUGAUUGCUAUGCUCACCUGUGACCACCCAGCUCAGGACAACAGACCUGCCACCCUGCUGUGUCCACCAGGACACCAGACCUACUACCUGCUGUGUCUGUCCAUCGCUGUUCCGACAGAGCGGUCUCAUGACUAUUGGAAAAGGGACAUUUCAAGCACAUGUGAAACAUGCUCUUUGGGUGUAUAUAACCACUCUGUACACCCCACGUCUUCGGUGCCCUUCCUUCCUUGGGGAAGGAAGACUCGGGCCAUGGUCCUCACAUUUUGGCUCAGAAUAAACUCACCCAAAUUUUCAUUUCUAGAUUGGUUAUGGAUUGUUUUUGUUGACAACUUGCUCUUCACAAGGCUAAGGAAGUUGGUCCACACCUUGCCUGGGUCUGUGUGGACACAUCUCCACUAACACACGCACACCCACAUCAGCUCCGUGUGUAAGCACAUGGCAUAAUGUAAAUGUUUCACGUAGAGAAUGUAUUGUGGUAGUUUAAGGUGUGUCCUCUGUCUUCCUGGUCGCACUCUUAGGUAUUCACGCAGUGCGUUACAAUUUAGGUCACGCCGCCUGCCUGCGAUUGGUGCCUCCUGGACGGUGAUUACAGUGGAUCCCUCCCAGGCCAAGGGAGCUGGAGCUUCUCCUAGACUCGCUAGGCUGGUACACCAGCGGGGGUUUCCCGCAAAGCCCCCAUUCAGCAGAAGCAUGGCCUUCGGGAUCAGAUGCUGCCUCAGGAUGUGGGGACAGAGUGCCUGCUGGUGGGCCCUUCCCCCAUCACACUCCAACCCCCCCCGACCCCGGAAUUUUACAGUAUUUCAUGGUGCUGAUUUCUCAUUCUGAUCUUCCGGGGCUGGAGCGGUACCAGCAUGUGACUUGUUCCUCCUCCUAUAUCCAUCUUCCUUCAAGUAGAAAAUCAAGAAAAAGAAAUGCAGUGCCUCAUUACUCAGCCGUUUCGGUUGAGUGUUUUCUGGUGCAGAUAUUCCAGAAGCACAUGUCUUGGCGGAAAGACACGAAAGGCUGCCUCCUGCAGUUUUGGGAGCCCACUGACUCCCAUGAUAAAGUGCGGCAACUUGGUACGUGAGGAAUUAUUUCCCUUUAAUAUGCUUUACACUUCUUCUGAUCUUGAAGGCAAAAAGAAAGUAAUGUCUGUGCUUAAGUCGAUCCAGCAAGCCGUGGCCUGGGAUAAAUGAAGGAGCUCUGACUAGCGGGAUUUGGCUCACCGCUGACCAGGGGACCCAAGGCCAGCGUGCCUGCACAGCCUCCACGGUGGUCUUGGAGAAUGAAGGAUGGGGCUGAUGCGGGAAAGGGACCCCGCCCGGCUGCAGUGUCUGCAUGGAGAAGGACGGCAGCCUCCUGAGCAGACCCACACCCUGAGUCCCUGGUGGUGGCUGCCGGCAGAGAGCACAGCUCCUUGUGGGACUGGGGCCCAGGGGGAAGAUCCAUGAUGCUGGGGGCUC